RNAcentral lists this ribosomal RNA (720 nucleotides) under Triticum aestivum (bread wheat). Its description in RNAcentral is "partial small subunit ribosomal RNA". The record is from RNAcentral. Lineage: Eukaryota; Viridiplantae; Streptophyta; Magnoliopsida; Poales; Poaceae.
AUGGCCACCAGCACCAACAUGAAGGGCUUGGCCCUUCUCCUCGCUCUUGCAGCGACGCUCCUGCCCUACUGCAGUGCCUCUGCCUCCUCGCCGGUUGCAGCUCCGGCUCCGGCUACCUACGCUGAUGGUGCAUCCCCGCCUUACGGCGCCUUCCCGCUGGCCCCAGCUGCCUACGCUGAGGCACCAACGACGGCGCACCAUGCACCUGCACUGGGGAAGCAUCACCACGAUGCCCAGUCCCCGGCCGAGCCACCGGCAUUCCGCAACGCAUCUGAGCACGGGAAGCGUCACCACCAUGAUAGCUCGCCCGUGGUGGCACCGACGCCAUACCACAGCAAUGCGUCUGAGCACAAGCACCAUGGCCACCUCGGCCACGGCAAUGCAUCUGAGCAUAAGCACCACGGUCACCUCGGGCACCACCACCAGCAACACGAAGCUCCACCCCCGGCUCACAGUGCACCACCGCCUCACUUGCCGCCUCCUGCUUAUCCCUCACCACCGCCACCUGCUCACCAUUUGUCACCCCCUGCUCACCCAUCACCGCCGCCCCCGGCACACCACUUGCCACCCCCUGCUCACACUUCGCCGCCGCCCCCCGCCCCCGCCUCACCACUCGCCGCCACCCCCUGCUCACCAUUCGCCGUCACCCCCGGCACACCACUUGCCACCUCCGCCCCCAUCUCAUUAUCCGCCGCAUGUUCCUGCACCUCCGGCACAUAA